AGCUCCCUAUCACUUUAUCAACCGCUUCUGGUGGAUUUUUAACGAUCAGUAUCAAAUAACAUAACUCUCUUGAGGUGUAGGGACCUACUAUAUCUAACGUAGAACCCUAUAAAGUAUAAGCUUCAGGGCCGUCUAACAGCACGCGCAAGUGGAGCGGUCGAACAGGGCCCCAAAAUAUAAAAAUAAAAAAAUUUAAGGUUUUUUGGAAAUAUAUAGAUAAAUUAUGGUAAGAAACUUUAAAACUUUAGAUAUAAUGCUAAAUUUAGAACUUAUAAUUAAAAAAAAUAAGACAAAAUUAUUAAAUUUUAAAAUUACUUGAUAAAAUAUACGAUUAAUAUUUUUUUUGAACAGGGCCUCAAAUUAAAUUGAGACGGCCCUGAUAAGCUUAGUAGUACUCAUGAGAUCGUUUUACGUCACAAAUCAAAACAAAACAGAAAGCGAGACCAUGCACCAAUAAUACCCGAUGGAGAACCGCCAUGUUAUUUAACUACAAAAUUUGCUAAACAAAAGUCGAGUCUCCCGAGAGUUGAGACUGUAGUGGUCGAGCGCAUGCGGGUUAUGAGGCACAAUGUUGUUUUAGAAGGGUCGAUGAUGAUAUGGGAGCUUUACCGUUCUGAUGACAAUUUGAUUUCGGAUAUUCUCUUACACCAGUGAUUAAUGACGAAACAAAACAAUAAAAGAUGUGUGAAUGAGAUGAGAAGGUUUUUUUUUGGGUCACAGGAGAUAUUUAUUGAGUUUAAGUAAGAACAUUACUUCUCUAAAAGUAAAAUAGAGAGAUACACGCAGUCACGCAGAAGAGAUGUGGAGAUAUUUUAUAAAUUGAAAUCUAAGGAAAGAAAACUAAUGCACUUUUGGAAAAAACUUAAUAUGUAUUAGGAAAUGCAAAAUGCUAAAAUGAAAAUAAUAUACUGAUGAUAUAAACAAAUUUUAAGUUUACGGUAUACAUUGAAUAAAUGAUUUACUUUUAUAGCAUAAAUAACUGUAUAUAGUCAAACUAUAGAUAACAUAAUUAAUUAGGUAUAUUAAUUGUUUUUUUAACAUGAUUUAAACGAAAAGACGAACCCAAUACAGUGUACCACUUGUCCAUUUUAUCAACUAAACCUAACUUGUGUAACACAGUAAUCUAAGCGAUGAACAAAAAAAAUGUGGCAGAUGCAACUCAAUCUCUGUAGUGUAAAACGGAAAUAACAAGAAAGAUCCAAAACGAAGAGGACAAAAUGUAGCAGGAAAGUUUUGAUGAUUAAAACGAACAAGCUUGUUGAUAUGCUUAUUCAGUCAAGAACAAGAU
Long non-coding RNA from Brassica rapa (field mustard), 1288 nucleotides. RefSeq lists it as uncharacterized. Lineage: Eukaryota; Viridiplantae; Streptophyta; Magnoliopsida; Brassicales; Brassicaceae. The record is from RefSeq and is a predicted model, not a curated record.